Molecule: ribosomal RNA, 447 nt
Filed under: uncultured bacterium
Lineage: Bacteria
Description: bacterial SSU rRNA
Rfam family: Bacterial small subunit ribosomal RNA
Source: RNAcentral
AGCGAACGCUGGCGGCAGGCCUAACACAUGCAAGUCGAACGCACCUUCGGGUGAGUGGCGGACGGGUGAGUAACACGUGGGAACGUACCUUUAGGUUCGGAAUAACGCAGGGAAACUUGCGCUAAUACCGAAUGUGCCCUUCGGGGAAGGAUUUAUCGCCUUUAGAGCGGCCCGCGUUAGAUUAGCUAGUUGGUGAGGUAAUGGCCCACCAAGGCUACGAUCUAUAGCUGGUCUGAGAGGANGAUCAGCCACACUGGGACUGAGACACGGCCCAGACUCCUACGGGAGGCAGCAGUGGGGAAUCUUGCGCAAUGGGCGAAAGCCUGACGCAGCCAUGCCGCGUGAAUGAUGAAGGUCUUAGGAUUGUAAAAUUCUUUUAGCAGGGACGAUAAUGACGGUACCUGCAGAAAAAGCCCCGGCUAACUUCGUGCCAGCAGCCGCGGUAAU